Oncorhynchus tshawytscha (Chinook salmon) is the source of this 3173-nucleotide long non-coding RNA. NCBI's taxonomy places the organism in Eukaryota, Metazoa, Chordata, Actinopteri, Salmoniformes, Salmonidae. The record is from Ensembl.
GAAUACCACACAUCUCAAUUCAAGCAACAACAAACUCAAACUCCGAUUUGACACACUGAACUCUAUCAGAGAAGUAGUUGGUAAACCAGGCGAGGCAAUUAUAUGAGAAACCAAGGCUGUUGAGUCUGCCAAUAAGAAUGUGGUGAUUGACAGAGUCGAAAGCCUUGGCCAGGUUGAUGAAUACAGCUGCACAGUAAUGUCUCUUAUCGAUGACGGUUAUGAUGUUGUUUAUGACCUUGAGCGUGGCUGAGGUGCACCCAUGACCAGCUCUGAAACCAGAUUGCAUAGCGGAGAAGGUACGGUGGGAUUCGAAAUGGUCGGUAAUCUGUUUGUUAACUUGGCUUUCUAAGACCUUAGAAAGACAGGGUAGGAUAGAAAUAGGUCUGUAGCAGUUUGGGUCUAGAAGAGGGGGAUGACCUCGGCAGCUUUCCAAUCUUUGGGAAUCUCAGACGAUACGAAAGAGAGGUUGAACAGGCUAGUAAUAGGAGUUGCAACAAUUUCGGCAGAUCAUUUUAGAAAGCGAGGGUCCAGAUUGUCUAGCCCGGCUGACUUGUAGGGGUCCAGAUUUUGCAGCUCUUUCAGAACAUCAGCUAUGUGGAUUUGGGUAAAGGAGAAAUGGUGGGGACUUUGGCGGGUUGCUGUCGAGGGUGCCGGGCAGUUGACCGGUGUAGGGGUGGCUAGGUGGAAAGCAUGGCCAGCCGUAGAGAAAUGCUUAUUGAAAUUCUCAAUUAUAGUGGAUUUAUCGGUGGUGACAGUGUUUCCUAGCCUCAGAGCAGUGGGCAGCUGGGAGGAGGUGCUCUUAUUCUCCAUGGACUUUACAGUGUCCCAGAACCUUUUUGAGUUAAUACUACAGGAUGCAAAUUUCUGUUUGAAAAAGCUCGCCUUAGCUUUCCUAACUGCCUGUGUAUAUUUGUUCCUAACUUCCCUGAAAAGUUGCAUAUCACGGGGGCUAUUCGAUGCCAAUGCAGAACGCCACAGGAUGUUUUUGUGCUGGUCAAGGGCAGACAGGUCUGGAGUGAACCAAGGACUAUAUAUAUUCUAGUUCAAAUUUUUUUUUAAUGGGGCAUGCUUAUUUAAGAGGAGGAAGGCACUUUUAAAGAAUAGCCAGGCAUCAUCUACUGACGGGAUGAGGUCAAUGUCAUUCCAGGAUACCCUGGCCAGGUCAAUUAGAAAGGCCUGCUCGCAGAAGUGUUUUAAGGAGAGUUUGACAGUGAUGAGUGGAGGCCGUUUGACCGCUGACCCAUUACGGAUGCAGGCAAUGAGGCAGUGAUCGCUGAGAUCUUGAUUGAAAACAGCAGAGGUGUAUUUGGAGGGUGAGUUAGUUAGGAUGACAUCUAUGAGGGUGCCCGUGUUUUCGGAGUUGGAGUUGUACCUGGUAGGUUCAUUGAUAAUUUGUGUGAGAUUGAGGGCAUCAAGCUUGGAUUGUAGGAUGGCUGGGGUGUUAAGCAUGUCCCAGUUUAUGUCACCUAGUAGCACGAGCUCAGAAGAUAGAUGGGGGGCAAUCAAUUCACAUAUGGUGUCGAGGGCACAGCUGGGGGCAGAGGGAGGUCUAUUGCAAGCGGCAACAGUGAGAGACUUGUUUCUGGAAAGGUUAAUUUUUAGUAGAAGCUCGAAUUGUUUGGGUACAGAACUCUGCAGGCUUUCUUUGCAGUAGAUUGCAACACCGACCCCUUUGGCAGUUUUAUCUUGACGGAAAAUGCUAUAGUUAGCGAUGGAGAUUUCAAGGUUUUUGGUGGUUUUCCUAAGCCAGGAUUCAGACACGACUAAGACAUCCAGGUUGGCAGAGUGUGCUAAAGCAGUGAGUAAAUAAUAUAUGAACUGGCCGUCUAGCACGUUCGGAAGAGAGUAAAGGGAGCAGGUUUCUGGGCACGAUAGCAUAGAUUAAAGACAUAGUGUACAGACAAAGGUAAGGUAGGAUGUGAGUACAUUGGAGGUAAAUCUAGGCAUUGAGUAAUGAUGAGAGAGAUAUAGUCUCUAGAGAUGUUUAAACCAGGUGAUGUCAUCGUAUAUGUAGGAGGUGGAACAACAUGGUUGGUUAAGGCCUAUUGAGCAGGGCUAGAGGCUCUACAGUAAAAUAAGACCACAAUCACUAACCUGGACAGUAAUGGGCGAGGCAUAUUGAUAUUAGAGAGAGGCAUGCAUAGCCAAGUGAACAUAUGGGUCCAGUGAGUGGUUGGGCUGACUGGGAACAUGGCGAUUCAGACAGUUAGCAGGCCGAUGCUAACAGUUAGUAGGCCGGGGCUAAACAAGCUAGCAGUUAGCAGACCGGGUUAGCAAGCAAGCAGUUAGCAGGGGCUAGCAAUUAGCAGACCGGGGCAGGCAAGCAAGCAGUUAGCAGGGGAUAGCAGUUAGUAGACCGGGGCUAGCAAGUUAGCCUUUGGGGGACGUCGCGGUGGGGGUAAGUCUGUUUUUGCCGAUACACCAGUGAUCUGAGAUCACUUGAAAAGUUGAAAAUCUGCCACAGAAGAGGCAUCAAGCUAACCACACUGCCAAAGACCUUGUCGAAACUAAGAUGUUUGAAAGAACUGGACUUCUCAGACAACGUAGGGUAGCAGAUUCCUGAGAGCAUCGGAUUCCUGAGAACAGUGGGGAUAAUACACAAGCAUUCCACAGUACAUUUCAUAUUCAAAUUGUAUUGUUGUGUACUGUAUGCUUAGCAAGUGAGGUAUUGUUGCAACUUUGUUAUUUUGCUAUAGAGCACAUCUUGCAAAAGGCUUUCCGGUCUCUGGCCAAUAACUUACAGGGCAAUGACGUAAGAUACACACUGAGGAGUUUAAGUCCAAAGAGAAUAAACGGUAUGACUUGAAUCAUCCUAUAAACCUCUAAUUUGGCAUAGAAUUUCAGUGAUAAUGUUCCUCAAUUUCAUUUCAGUGUCCAAUUACAAUCAAGGAAUUGAUAGGAAAUGGAAUCACUCAAUUUGAUUUGACACUCAAUUUGAUUACUUUGUGUGUGUAGGGCAUCCCAGAAGGAAAAAACCAUGCAGGCCCUGACUCUGUGGAUAGACUUAUUCCAUAGUGACCAGAAGGCAUCUGUCAUAGCUGACCAACUUGUGAGGACUCUGAUCUUGGUAGGCCUAUACACACUCUACUCUCAGGUCCAGGCCAUCAAGAUAUAUGCCAAAGCCAGGAGACAAUGAAUACACUAUGCCAAAUGUGCUAUAUGAAUAGAGGUAC